UGAGGAGCGAAAGCGUGGGGAGCGAACAGGAUUAGAUACCCUGGUAGUCCACGCCGUAAACGUUGGGCGCUAGAUGUGGGUCACAUUCCACGUGAUCCGUGUCGCAGCUAACGCAUUAAGCGCCCCGCCUGGGGAGUACGGCCGCAAGGCUAAAACUCAAAGGAAUUGACGGGGGCCCGCACAAGCGGCGGAGCAUGCGGAUUAAUUCGAUGCAACGCGAAGAACCUUACCAAGGCUUGACAUAUAGAGGAAAACUGCAGAAAUGUAGUCCCCGCAAGGUCUCUAUACAGGUGGUGCAUGGUUGUCGUCAGCUCGUGUCGUGAGAUGUUGGGUUAAGUCCCGCAACGAGCGCAACCCUCGUCCUAUGUUGCCAGCACGUUAUGGUGGGAACUCAUGGGAGACUGCCGGGGUCAACUCGGAGGAAGGUGGGGAUGACGUCAAAUCAUCAUGCCCCUUAUGUCUUGGGCUUCACGCAUGCUACAAUGGCCGGUACAAAGGGCUGCAAUACCGCAAGGUGGAGCGAAUCCCAAAAAGCCGGUCUCAGUUCGGAUUGAGGUCUGCAACUCGACCUCAUGAAGUCGGAGUCGCUAGUAAUCGCAGAUCAGCAACGCUGCGGUGAAUACGUUCCCGGGCCUUGUACACACCGCCCGUCAAGUCACGAAAGUCGGUAACACCCGAAGCCGGUGGCCUAACCGUAAGGA
This 701-nucleotide ribosomal RNA is filed under the name uncultured Actinomycetes bacterium. RNAcentral's name for it is "bacterial SSU rRNA". It matches the Rfam family "Bacterial small subunit ribosomal RNA", at positions 747 to 1447 of the family's 1533-position model. The record is from RNAcentral. Lineage: Bacteria; Bacillati; Actinomycetota; Actinomycetes.